RNAcentral lists this ribosomal RNA (497 nucleotides) under uncultured bacterium. RNAcentral's name for it is "partial 16S ribosomal RNA". It matches the Rfam family "Bacterial small subunit ribosomal RNA", at positions 28 to 507 of the family's 1533-position model. The record is from RNAcentral.
GACGAACGCUGGCGGCGUGCCUAAUACAUGCAAGUAGAACGCUGAAGAGAGGAGCUUGCUCUUCUUGGAUGAGUUGCGAACGGGUGAGUAACGCGUAGGUAACCUGCCUUGUAGCGGGGGAUAACUAUUGGAAACGAUAGCUAAUACCGCAUAACAAUGGAUGACACAUGUCAUUUAUUUGAAAGGGGCAAUUGCUCCACUACAAGAUGGACCUGCGUUGUAUUAGCUAGUAGGUGAGGCAAUGGCUCACCUAGGCGACGAUACAUAGCCGACCUGAGAGGGUGAUCGGCCACACUGGGACUGAGACACGGCCCAGACUCCUACGGGAGGCAGCAGUAGGGAAUCUUCGGCGAUGGGGGCAACCCUGACCGAGCAACGCCGCGUGAGUGAAGAAGGUUUUCGGAUCGUAAAGCUCUGUUGUAAGUCAAGAACGGGUGUGAGAGUGGAAAGUUCACACUGUGACGGUAGCUUACCAGAAAGGGACGGCUAACUACGUG